RNAcentral lists this ribosomal RNA (235 nucleotides) under uncultured Actinomycetales bacterium. RNAcentral's name for it is "partial 16S ribosomal RNA". It matches the Rfam family "Bacterial small subunit ribosomal RNA", at positions 96 to 334 of the family's 1533-position model. The record is from RNAcentral. Lineage: Bacteria; Bacillati; Actinomycetota; Actinomycetes; Actinomycetales.
UGGCUAACGGGUGAGUAACACGUGGGUGAUCUGCCCUGCACUUCGGGAUAAGCCUGGGAAACUGGGUCUAAUACCGGAUAGGAGCCAUUUUUAGUGUGAUGGUUGGAAAGUUUUUUCGGUGUAGGAUGAGCUCGCGGCCUAUCAGCUUGUUGGUGGGGUAAUGGCCUACCAAGGCGGCGACGGGUAGCCGGCCUGAGAGGGUGGACGGCCACAUUGGGACUGAGAUACGGCCCAG